CUACGGGGGGCAGCAGUAAGGAAUAUUGCGCAAUGGAGGCAACUCUGACGCAGCCAUGCCGCGUGCAGGAAGAAGGCCUUAUGGGUCGUAAACUGCUUUUAUUUAGGAAUAAACCCCCGAACGUGUUCGGGGCUGAAGGUACUAAACGAAUAAGCACCGGCUAACUCCGUGCCAGCAGCCGCGGUAAUACGGAGGGUGCAAGCGUUAUCCGGAUUUAUUGGGUUUAAAGGGUGCGCAGGCGGGCUAUUAAGUCAGUGGUGAAAUCCCGGGGCUCAACUCCGGAACUGCCAUUGAUACUUAUAGUCUUGAGUUUGGUUGAAGUGGGCGGAAUGUAGCAUGUAGCGGUACAAUGCAUAGAUAUGCUACAGAACACCAAUCGCGAAGGCAGCUCACUAAGCCAAAACUGACGCUCAUGCACGAAAGCGUGGGGAUCAAACAGGAUUAGAUACCCUAGUAGUC
RNAcentral lists this ribosomal RNA (459 nucleotides) under uncultured bacterium. RNAcentral's name for it is "partial 16S ribosomal RNA". It matches the Rfam family "Bacterial small subunit ribosomal RNA", at positions 339 to 795 of the family's 1533-position model. The record is from RNAcentral.